This 508-nucleotide ribosomal RNA is filed under the name uncultured bacterium. RNAcentral's name for it is "partial 16S ribosomal RNA". It matches the Rfam family "Bacterial small subunit ribosomal RNA", at positions 28 to 523 of the family's 1533-position model. The record is from RNAcentral.
GAUGAACGCUAGCUACAGGCUUAACACAUGCAAGUCGAGGGGAAACGAUAUUGGAAGCUUGCUUCCGAUAGGCGUCGACCGGCGCACGGGUGAGUAACGCGUAUCCAACCUGCCCAUCACUUGGGGAUAACCGUGCGAAAGUAAGACUAAUACCCAAUGAUAUCUCUAGAAGACAUCUGAAAGGGAUUAAAGAUUUAUCGGUGAUGGAUGGGGGUGCGUCUGAUUAGGUUGUUGGCGGGGUAACGGCCCACCAAGGCGACGAUCAGUAGGGGUUCUGAGAGGAAGGUCCCCCACAUUGGAACUGAGACACGGUCCAAACUCCUACGGGAGGCAGCAGUGAGGAAUAUUGGUCAAUGGGCGAGAGCCUGAACCAGCCAAGUAGCGUGCAGGAUGACGGCCCUAUGGGUUGUAAACUGCUUUUAUAAGGGAAUAAAGUGGGAGUCGUGACUCCUUUUGCAUGUACCUUAUGAAUAAGGACCGGCUAAUUCUGUGCCAGCCGCCGCAGUAA